GGCUGAGCUGGCCUGAGGAUCUGGGGAAUGGGGCACCCUCAGGAGGCGGCUGGAGGAGACAGGCACCCGGUCCACACCACUGCCCCUCCCUCAGACCUCCAUGCCCUCCCCCAGAUAGAGGGUGGUGCAAAGGCCGCCCUGCUCAGGGACUGCAGUUGUUACACGCCCGUCAGCCAGUGCUCUGGGAGGCUGAGGCAGGAGGACCGCAAGCUGAAGCCCAGCCUGGGCAAUUUAGUGACUCAGGAAGACCUCGUCUUGGAUGACAGAGAAGCAGCACAAGGUGGAAAAGGCCUCUGCACACAGGCCUCAGAGUCGUCUGCCUGCUGGCCAUAGACACAUCUGGGAGUUAGGAGGGGCGGCACGGAGACAGGGUGGGCUCCCAGCUGUACCGGGACAGAGUCCGUGCUGACGUCCAAGUCAGCCUCAGCUUCCUAUCUGAAACGGCUCCAUGGCUGAGGGGGCCCAGCAGCCCGGGAGCUCCCGCCCUUCCUGGCCACUGCACAAUGCUGGCCCUCACUCUCCUCCCCCCCUUCAGGUGUCCCUAAGUGAUAACCAUCAAAUAAACGGCCAUCGAGGCCAGUGGGUGUCGCCUUUGGCGUUGGGGCCCCCUCUGCAUGCUGAAAAGUUACUGAGGACUCCAGAUACGAGUGUGAUUGAAAUACAUGUUGAAUGUUUAAAAUUUUAUUACAGCAAAAGACUGCCUGAAUGCCCUUCAAAACCCUCCUCCCCUCACUUCAAAUACACCUGUCCCGUCGUCCUUGCCACUCUGAAGCAGUUCUGGAGGCUGCUUUCUUUAUGAGGCUGAGAAAUCUUGGGAGGCACAAGAAUAGAGGAGCACAUGACCCACCAGCCAGCAGGGGACAGUGUCGCCCACGUCAGCACCUCUGCAGCCUCCUGAGAGGACCAGAGAAAGAAGCCAGUCAUGCCAAAGAGCCAGAGGGAAGGAAAACAGUGAUAUCAAGGGCCUGAAGAGGCCUCAGGGACCCUCGGUGGCACCCAGAGAACCCAGUGAGGCCUUCUCCAGAGCCUCUGUGGAGAGCUGCCUGGGCAGAAGGCCUUGGAGGGGCUUGGGAAGGAAGGAAGAGACCAGGACUCGGGAGGAGGAGAGGCCCAGGUGUCUGAAGUUCCGGAUGGGCCAGCCGGGCCUCGGGAAGAGUGGGAGCCUGGGGUGUGACAGCCGAUCCUGGCCCCUCAGCUUGAACAGAUCAAGGGCCACCUAGCGGGGCAGAGGACUCAGUUCUGGGCGUGCUUGUGCGUGACUGACAUGGAGACCUGCCUGGAUGUGGUGGCCCCAUUAGGACUGGAUGGGAUAAAGAGGAAAGAAGAAGGAAGUGGCCCCAUUUUGCAAGAGUUCCAGUCAUCGCCAUCCCCUUUGGACCUCGGAUUUCGGUGUCUGCCACCUUCAAGGCAGACCCCAUCUCGACUCUGCCCAGUGAGCCUUCAGGCUUCCACCCUGGACGGGUGCUGCAUCCUUGAUUGCUGUGUCCCAGCUUCCCCCUUCUCAGGCCGGGCAGCUGCCGGGCACCCUGGGUCUCCAGCAGGCAGAGGCCACCGAGGGCUCUCCUGCCCGGACCCAGUAAGCUACCCAGCAAACCCCCUGCAUGACCACACAUGUGUCCUGCUGACCCUGUUUCUCUUGAGAACCCUCACUAAUGGGGCCAGGGACCCCUGAGAACCUUUUCAAAGGAGGGUGAUGGGGACCCCAGGGUUAGAGACAAAAGGGGCAGGACCAGGGGCACCGACUGGGCAGGGGUUGUAGCUCUUUCUUUGCCAGACUUUGCUGCUGAGAAAUCACCCCAAGGAACAACAGGCUUAGACCCAGUCCUGAGCUCCCCAGAUGCAGGCCGGGCAGCUGAGGGCCUCAGUCUCAGGGAGGACGUACUCUGGGGGCCCAGAGCUGCUCGUCCCUGUGCUCUGCAAGGACACAUGCUACACUCCAUGCUUCCCAUCCACCAUGGGAGAACAAGGCACUCUCCUGCACACGCCACAAUGUCUCACAGACUACCUUCAGGACUGGUCCAGCUCCAUGGGGACCAGGGGGCUGACCCAGGGCCAACUGUGGUACAAGAACUGAAAUUACUUCAUAUUUUCCAUUGCUAUAAACCAAUGCAGGCCUCCCGGUGACAGAUGAGCUCAGGAUGGGUAGAUGCGAACCCUGACUGUAAGCACACCAGGAGGCUGUGCGUGUGGGGGAGAAACCAGCCAGCAGGGUCACCUGUGUGAUCCCAUUCAUAUGAGGUGUCUGACUGGCAAACUGCGGACACUAACAGAUUAGCGGUCACAACCAGCUGGGGCAUGGAGGGGCUGCUAAAUAAAGGUCCUG
This is a long non-coding RNA of Heterocephalus glaber (naked mole-rat), 2323 nucleotides long. The record is from Ensembl. NCBI's taxonomy places the organism in Eukaryota, Metazoa, Chordata, Mammalia, Rodentia, Bathyergidae.